GAUCCUGGCUCAGGAUGAACGCUGGCGGCGUGCCUAAUACAUGCAAGUCGAACGCGCAGCGAGAGGUGCUUGCACCUUUCAAGCGAUGGCGAACGGGUGAGUAACACGUGGAUAACCUGCCUCAAGGCUGGGGAUAACAUUUGGAAACGGAUGCUAAUACCGAAUAAAACUUAGUAUCGCAUGAUAUCAAGUUAAAAGGCGCUACGGCGUCACCUAGAGAUGGAUCCGCGGUG
RNAcentral lists this ribosomal RNA (233 nucleotides) under uncultured bacterium. RNAcentral's name for it is "partial 16S ribosomal RNA". It matches the Rfam family "Bacterial small subunit ribosomal RNA", at positions 15 to 238 of the family's 1533-position model. The record is from RNAcentral.